GUCGAGCGGACAGAAGGGAGCUUGCUCCCGGAUGUUAGCGGCGGACGGGUGAGUAACACGUGGGUAACCUGCCUGUAAGACUGGGAUAACUCCGGGAAACCGGAGCUAAUACCGGAUAGUUCCUUGAACCGCAUGGUUCAAGGAUGAAAGACGGUUUCGGCUGUCACUUACAGAUGGACCCGCGGCGCAUUAGCUAGUUGGUGGGGUAAUGGCUCACCAAGGCGACGAUGCGUAGCCGACCUGAGAGGGUGAUCGGCCACACUGGGACUGAGACACGGCCCAGACUCCUACGGGAGGCAGCAGUAGGGAAUCUUCCGCAAUGGACGAAAGUCUGACGGAGCAACGCCGCGUGAGUGAUGAAGGUUUUCGGAUCGUAAAGCUCUGUUGUUAGGGAAGAACAAGUGCGAGAGUAACUGCUCGCACCUUGACGGUACCUAACCAGAAAGCCACGGCUAACUACGUGCCAGCAGCCGCGGUAAUACGUAGGUGGCAAGCGUUGUCCGGAAUUAUUGGGCGUAAAGGGCUCGCAGGCGGUUUCUUAAGUCUGAUGUGAAAGCCCCCGGCUCAACCGGGGAGGGUCAUUGGAAACUGGGAAACUUGAGUGCAGAAGAGGAGAGUGGAAUUCCACGUGUAGCGGUGAAAUGCGUAGAGAUGUGGAGGAACACCAGUGGCGAAGGCGACUCUCUGGUCUGUAACUGACGCUGAGGAGCGAAAGCGUGGGGAGCGAA
This 728-nucleotide ribosomal RNA is filed under the name Bacillus sp. SCULCB PT-7. RNAcentral's name for it is "bacterial SSU rRNA". It matches the Rfam family "Bacterial small subunit ribosomal RNA", at positions 61 to 772 of the family's 1533-position model. Lineage: Bacteria; Bacillati; Bacillota; Bacilli; Caryophanales; Bacillaceae. The record is from RNAcentral.